Diorhabda carinulata is the source of this 244-nucleotide long non-coding RNA. RefSeq lists it as uncharacterized. Lineage: Eukaryota; Metazoa; Arthropoda; Insecta; Coleoptera; Chrysomelidae. The transcript has 2 exons. The record is from RefSeq and is a predicted model, not a curated record.
GUGACAUCAAAGAUGAUUCGGAAGCUGAAAACAGCAAAAAAGGUGGCAGCAAUCCUGUAUUAAUGAAAUUUAUUCUAUUUGGGUCGAUUGUGGCAGUCCUAAGAGCAAUGCCACUUGUAAUCCAACUUUGCAAGGAUGUGAAUCUGUAGUGUUACUUAUGACAUUGUUCUUUUUAUUUUAUGAAAAUUCUUAUAAACUACACCCCUUGAUCAUGGAUUAAAUCAAUAAAAACAUUCUAACUACA